UGCAAGUCGAACGGUGAACACGGAGCUUGCUCUGUGGGAUCAGUGGCGAACGGGUGAGUAACACGUGAGCAACCUGCCCCUGACUCUGGGAUAAGCGCUGGAAACGGCGUCUAAUACUGGAUACGAGUAGCGACCGCAUGGUCAGUUACUGGAAAGAUUUAUUGGUUGGGGAUGGGCUCGCGGCCUAUCAGCUUGUUGGUGAGGUAAUGGCUCACCAAGGCGUCGACGGGUAGCCGGCCUGAGAGGGUGACCGGCCACACUGGGACUGAGACACGGCCCAGACUCCUACGGGAGGCAGCAGUGGGGAAUAUUGCACAAUGGGCGCAAGCCUGAUGCAGCAACGCCGCGUGAGGGAUGACGGCCUUCGGGUUGUAAACCUCUUUUAGCAGGGAAGAAGCGAAAGUGACGGUACCUGCAGAAAAAGCGCCGGCUAACUACGUGCCAGCAGCCGCGGUAAUACGUAGGGCGCAAGCGUUAUCCGGAAUUAUUGGGCGUAAAGAGCUCGUAGGCGGUUUGUCGCGUCUGCUGUGAAAUCCGGAGGCUCAACCUCCGGCCUGCAGUGGGUACGGGCAGACUAGAGUGCGGUAGGGGAGAUUGGAAUUCCUGGUGUAGCGGUGGAAUGCGCAGAUAUCAGGAGGAACACCGAUGGCGAAGGCAGAUCUCUGGGCCGUAACUGACGCUGAGGAGCGAAAGGGUGGGGAGCAAACAGGCUUAGAUACCCUGGUAGUCCACCCCGUAAACGUUGGGAACUAGUUGUGGGGUCCAUUCCACGGAUUCCGUGACGCAGCUAACGCAUUAAGUUCCCCGCCUGGGGAGUACGGCCGCAAGGCUAAAACUCAAAGGAAUUGACGGGGACCCGCACAAGCGGCGGAGCAUGCGGAUUAAUUCGAUGCAACGCGAAGAACCUUACCAAGGCUUGACAUAUACGAGAACGGGCCAGAAAUGGUCAACUCUUUGGACACUCGUAAACAGGUGGUGCAUGGUUGUCGUCAGCUCGUGUCGUGAGAUGUUGGGUUAAGUCCCGCAACGAGCGCAACCCUCGUUCUAUGUUGCCAGCACGUAAUGGUGGGAACUCAUGGGAUACUGCCGGGGUCAA
Molecule: ribosomal RNA, 1096 nt
Filed under: Microbacterium foliorum
Lineage: Bacteria; Bacillati; Actinomycetota; Actinomycetes; Micrococcales; Microbacteriaceae
Description: bacterial SSU rRNA
Rfam family: Bacterial small subunit ribosomal RNA
Source: RNAcentral